GAGUUACAAACUGAGGCCGCGCGGCGCUGGGCCCGCAGGCCGCCAGUCACAGCCUACAUUUCUGCGUGCUUUCCGAGAAGAGAGAGGCGCCGGGUGGGCUUUAUUAUUUUUCCCUCUUCCCUUUUCCCACAGUGUCCUCUCAUUUUAAAUAAUAAUUAUCCCAAUAAUUAAAACCCAUCCCCCUCCCUCCCCUAUUCCUUCCCUUAACCCCUCCCCCCCCCGCCGGGGCUGGGGAGAGCCACGAAUUGACCAAGUGAGGCUACAACUUUGUGGCAUAAAUUGCGGGGUCCGGAACCAUGUCGCUGACCAACACAAAGACGGGGUUUUCAGUCAAGGACAUCUUGGACCUUCCGGACACCAACGAUGAAGAAGGCUCGGUGGCCGAAGGGCCGGAGGAGGAGAACGAAGGGCCGGAGCCGGCCAAGAGGGCCGGGCCGCUAGGGCAGAGCGCCUUGGAUGCUGUGCAGAGCCUGCCCCUUAAGAGUCCUUUCUACGACAGCAGCGACAACCCCUACACUCGCUGGCUGGCCAGCACCGAGGG
Molecule: long non-coding RNA, 541 nt
Filed under: Rattus norvegicus (Norway rat)
Lineage: Eukaryota; Metazoa; Chordata; Mammalia; Rodentia; Muridae
Description: long non-coding RNA NONRATT019754
Source: RNAcentral